UUGUAGUCAAGUUUUGUGACCUAGUAUGGUGCUUCAGAUCGUGAAUGAGUGGGUGAGUGAGUGAGUGAAGUAAAGUAAAGGAAAUGAUUGAAUAUAAAUGGGAGCACGAACGAGACUAGGGUUUUAUUUCUAAUUACUAAUUUGACCUUUAUUUUUUUCUGCUUUUUUCAAACAAAAUUCCACAAAUUGUUUCUGCGUCCCAAUUAAGUGAUUAACCAUGUCCAAAUCUCAUAUCACAGAAGAUUAAAAAUAUAUAUUUAAUAUUAUACCAAUAAUUACUGAAAUAAUGUUCUUGAAAAUCAAUCAUCAAACUUAAGAUCACACUUAAGACAUAAAGCCGUGUCAAAACGCAAAUUAAUUAAGAAAAUUAUUUAUUAAAAUAUUAAUUUAUAGUAUCAGAUUUAAUGAAGAAAUUUGGAGUUUAAUAUGCCAGUCAAAGCGCAAUUAAUUAUAUCCUUGAUCAUAUAUCUUUUGAUUGGUUAA
Lupinus albus (white lupine) is the source of this 483-nucleotide non-coding RNA. NCBI's taxonomy places the organism in Eukaryota, Viridiplantae, Streptophyta, Magnoliopsida, Fabales, Fabaceae. The record is from the annotation of a GenBank genome assembly.